UACAGAGGGUGCGAGCGUUGUCCGGAAUCACUGGGCGUAAAGGGUGCGUAGGCGGGGCUUUAAGUCAGGGGGGAAAUCCUGGAGCUCAACUCCAGAACUGCCUUUGAUACUGAAGAUCUUGAGUUCGGGAGAGGUGAGUGGAACUGCGAGUGUAGAGGUGAAAUUCGUAGAUAUUCGCAAGAACACCAGUGGCGAAGGCGGCUCACUGGCCCGAUACUGACGCUGAGGCACGAAAGCGUGGGGAGCAAACAGG
RNAcentral lists this ribosomal RNA (253 nucleotides) under uncultured bacterium. RNAcentral's name for it is "partial 16S ribosomal RNA". It matches the Rfam family "Bacterial small subunit ribosomal RNA", at positions 524 to 776 of the family's 1533-position model. The record is from RNAcentral.